This 334-nucleotide long non-coding RNA is filed under the name Struthio camelus australis. RNAcentral describes it as "lncRNA (ENSSCUG00000011933.1)". Lineage: Eukaryota; Metazoa; Chordata; Aves; Struthioniformes; Struthionidae. The record is from RNAcentral.
AGACCAUGUACUACCUGGUCCUCAGUUUCAAUCUCUAAAAACUGAGCCCUCCAGACUUGCUGAAAUCUCCUUUCAUGUGGAUAUGCCUUACUCAGAUACAGACUUCAUCCCGCUUCAGGGAAGCUACUCACAUGAGCAAAGGUGAAAACAGUGCAAAUAUAACACAAGAGAGUUGAGUGAGGUGACCAGUUUGCUUCCUGUGUAUUUCUAAACCAUCAUUACUUGGAAAUCUGCUUUACUCCUUCACAUCUGUUCAGAUCUUAUUCACAAGAAGGUAAUUUUUAUGGAAUUUCCCUGAACUCUUUCCUUUUCUGCCCUUUUUUUGUUGAAGUGC